Cavia aperea (Brazilian guinea pig) is the source of this 107-nucleotide small nuclear RNA. The record is from Ensembl. NCBI's taxonomy places the organism in Eukaryota, Metazoa, Chordata, Mammalia, Rodentia, Caviidae.
GUGCUUGCUUCGGCAGCACAUAAACUAAAAUUGGAACAAUACAGAGAAGAUUACCAUGGCCUCUGUGCAAAGAUGACACACAAAUUCAUGAAGUGUUCCAUAUUUUU